RNAcentral lists this transfer RNA (68 nucleotides) under Solemya velum (Atlantic awning clam). Its description in RNAcentral is "tRNA-Leu". It matches the Rfam family "tRNA". Rfam says of the family: Transfer RNA (tRNA) molecules are approximately 80 nucleotides in length. Their secondary structure includes four short double-helical elements and three loops (D, anti-codon, and T loops). The record is from RNAcentral. Lineage: Eukaryota; Metazoa; Mollusca; Bivalvia; Solemyida; Solemyidae.
GUUAGGAUGGCAGAUUAGUGCAAUAGAUUUAAGCUCUAUAUAUAAAGGUGUGUUUCCUUUUCUUAAUA